RNAcentral lists this transfer RNA (86 nucleotides) under Mageeibacillus indolicus UPII9-5. RNAcentral describes it as "Clostridiales genomosp. BVAB3 str. UPII9-5 tRNA". It matches the Rfam family "tRNA". Rfam says of the family: Transfer RNA (tRNA) molecules are approximately 80 nucleotides in length. Their secondary structure includes four short double-helical elements and three loops (D, anti-codon, and T loops). The record is from Rfam by way of RNAcentral. Lineage: Bacteria; Bacillati; Bacillota; Clostridia; Eubacteriales; Oscillospiraceae.
GGAGAAAUACCCAAGGGGCCGAAGGGGACGGUUUGCUAAAUCGUUAGGCGCGCAAGCGUGCGAGGGUUCGAAUCCCUCUUUCUCCG